Molecule: transfer RNA, 85 nt
Filed under: Crucibulum laeve
Lineage: Eukaryota; Fungi; Basidiomycota; Agaricomycetes; Agaricales; Nidulariaceae
Description: tRNA-Asp
Rfam family: tRNA
About the family: Transfer RNA (tRNA) molecules are approximately 80 nucleotides in length.
Source: RNAcentral
UCUCUGUUAGUAUAUCGGUUAGUACACGCGCCUGUCACAGUGAUGUCGGUCGCGCGAAAGCUGGGUUCGACUCCCAGACAGAGAG